Molecule: long non-coding RNA, 708 nt
Filed under: Brassica rapa (field mustard)
Lineage: Eukaryota; Viridiplantae; Streptophyta; Magnoliopsida; Brassicales; Brassicaceae
Description: long non-coding RNA (BRAP_LNC001400)
Source: RNAcentral
ACGGUUCGGAGUAAUACAGUCAGGCGUAUUUUCAUAUGGUGGUAGAACUGUCGGCUGUAAAAUCGUCUAUGUAAUAUUUUUCAACGUUGUAAUAGCAUAAUUAAUCAAACGUUAAAAAAAUAAAAUAAUAAUUAAAAACAUAAAUAUAUUUCAAAAAUCAGCAAAUUCAAUCGCUUUAUCCGUUAGUUAAAUAACCAGGGUUUUUUUUUCUGUAAACAAGAUAUGGUCUUCACAGAAUUUUUUUUUUUUCGACCGUAAAUUAAACGUUCAUGUUAUAGACAUGGAUUUGAAUGCAUACGAUAAUUAGGUGUUUGAAUUUUUUUUGUAAAGAAAGUUGGGUGUCCGCGUCUAAUGUCGUUGUGAGUCAUAAUUACGAGAAGACUUUCUGUCGAACAUAAUGGGUGAUUGGUUCAAAUUUACCUCGGUUCUUUAUCCUUAUUUAUUUAUUUUAUCUUUUUUUAUCGGCAAUUUAAACAUAUUCAUAUAAAUUUUGUAAAUUAAAAAGUUAAUUUCGUAUUCAUAUAAACAACAAACGAUAGUUGCUGUCCGCUUUUAAAUUUUGCGUUUGUGGUAUAUGAAUGAGAUCUUAGCUAUUGAAUCUAGGGGUGGGCAAAAAAAGCGAACCGAACCGAGUCAAACUGAACCGAAACUGAUUAAAACCGAAUCCAAUUCUAUUUCAAACCAUUCGGUUGAAGAUUUUCCCAACCC